RNAcentral lists this ribosomal RNA (209 nucleotides) under uncultured bacterium. Its description in RNAcentral is "partial 16S ribosomal RNA". It matches the Rfam family "Bacterial small subunit ribosomal RNA", at positions 568 to 775 of the family's 1533-position model. The record is from RNAcentral.
UACGCAGGCGGGACUGCAAGUUGGAUGUGAAAUACCGGAGCUCAACUCCGGGGGCUGCAUCCAAAACUGUAGUUCUUGAGUGGAGUAGAGGUAAGCGGAAUUCCGAGUGUAGCGGUGAAAUGCGUAGAUAUUCGGAGGAACACCAGUGGCGAAGGCGGCUUACUGGGCUCUAACUGACGCUGAGGCACGAAAGUGUGGGUAGCAAACAG